UGGGGAAUUUUGGACAAUGGGCGCAAGCCUGAUCCAGCCAUGCCGCGUGCGGGAAGAAGGCCUUCGGGUUGUAAACCGCUUUUGUCAGGGAAGAAAUCUUCUGAGUUAAUACCUCGGGGAGGAUGACGGUACCUGAAGAAUAAGCACCGGCUAACUACGUGCCAGCAGCCGCGGUAAUACGUAGGGUGCAAGCGUUAAUCGGAAUUACUGGGCGUAAAGCGUGCGCAAGGCGGUUUUGUAAGACAGAGGUGAAAUCCCCGGGCUCAACCUGGGAACUGCCUUUGUGACUGCAAGGCUUGAGUGCGGCAGAGGGGGAUGGAAUUCCGCGUGUAGCGUGAAAUGCGUAGAUAUGCGGAGGAACACCGAUGGCGAAGGCAAUUCCCCUGGGCCUGCACUGACGCUCAUGCACGAAAGCGUGGGGAGCAAACAGGAUUAGAUA
This 439-nucleotide ribosomal RNA is filed under the name uncultured bacterium. Its description in RNAcentral is "partial 16S ribosomal RNA". It matches the Rfam family "Bacterial small subunit ribosomal RNA", at positions 355 to 784 of the family's 1533-position model. The record is from RNAcentral.